GACUGCGGAGGAUCAUUA
RNAcentral lists this ribosomal RNA (18 nucleotides) under Saccharomyces cerevisiae (brewer's yeast). Its description in RNAcentral is "partial 18S ribosomal RNA". Lineage: Eukaryota; Fungi; Ascomycota; Saccharomycetes; Saccharomycetales; Saccharomycetaceae. The record is from RNAcentral. RNAcentral also lists the same sequence under 8 other names.